This 16318-nucleotide long non-coding RNA is filed under the name Linum usitatissimum (flax). RNAcentral's name for it is "long non-coding RNA (LUSI_LNC002590)". Lineage: Eukaryota; Viridiplantae; Streptophyta; Magnoliopsida; Malpighiales; Linaceae. The record is from RNAcentral.
UGAUUGGAAUUUUCGUCAUGGCGGAUUUCAUCGAUGGAAUUAAUCUUCUUCAUUGUUUGUUAAAUUUUUUGAGUUCCGCUGCGAUCAAAUCAACCAGCCGAAUUUCUGCACUCUUCUUGAGGACUAAUUAUGUUAGGAAGAAGAACAAAUUAAAGGAUAGGGCCAAAAUAAAAAAGAUAAUUUUAUUUUUUAUACAAUGUUGUUUUUUACUCAAGUUGUUGUUAAUUAUUAAUUAAUUUCGUGAUUAUGUAGUUUGAUAUGAUAAUCCAGCUGUAAUGUGAAGGAGAGGGAAACAAACAUUGCGCCACGUGGGCCAAUUGCUUCUGUUUGGAAACUGAUUUUGUCUUCUUUUGUGAUUUGUUUAUACAUUAUUGGGGUUAUCCUGAUGUUUACAGUAAUUAAAGUAAUUUCAUUACUUACGGGCCAUCAUAUUUCAAAUACUUUAUCGAAAAAAGUUUGUUUGGAACCAAAAUAAAAUUUAUGUCAUUUUUUGAGCUUUGGUAUUAACUUAAAUAAUGCGGUUUUAAAUUAUUUUAAUACCUCCUUCACUCUUAAGUUUUUUAUAUGUCUCAGUAUUUUAAGAAUGUAAUCUUUCUAUUAUUAAAUACUAUAUUGAAUAACUGAACUAUAUAACAGUGUUAUUUAUUUAAUUAAUUAUUGUGAAGCAUUGUUGCUGUUGUUGUUUCGUUGUGACUGACUGCCCGACAAACUUGAGAAUACGUGAGGUGGGUACUGAUCCAGAUUCAUCACUACUAGAUGGGAAAUUGGGAAUGUAGCUUUUGGAUAAGCUUUUUUAUCCAAAACUUUGUUAGUGCGUUUGCAAGACUUUCAGUCGAUUACAUAUAUACUUGAAUGACAAAGAAUAAAACAUUCACUGGUCUAAAAUAUAAAGGGAAGAGUUAAUCAAGUCAUCAGACUCCCUUACACUCCCCCUAGUUAGAAUACACCUACUCUUGGGUUGUAGCCUACAAUAUUACUAUAGCCAGCGAUGAAUCUCCACUACUCCAGCUUAAUCCAUGACGUCAGAGGCCGUAAGAAUUCAUACUGGACAGUGAUAGAUUAUAUGUCGUUUUUCUUAAGGUUGUAACGUAUCCUAUGAUUCUAUGGGUGUUGUGUGGUUGUUUUUGAUAAGAUCAAGAUUGGUGGGAGAAAAGGGAAUCCAACUCUAUCCACAAUUCAGGGAUCACAGACGACCUUUUUCUACUUAAUAAUUAAUAUAAUUAUAAAUCCCAACCCUGCAGAGUUACUUCUUCAUAUUUUCACUAAUUAAUUGUCAGCACCCUAUACUUCACUUUUUUCCCAUGCAUAUUCCUAACUGUUAACGGUUUCAAAUUGUUUUAUGAAUAUUAAUUACUGAAUCAACAUGUGUGCGCCAGCAAGUGUAACAGAAACCGCAUAAUUUUUAGUCGGGCAAUUUUUUUAUAAACUAUAUGUUUUAAAUAUUAUUAUUAUUAAAUGGUGGCAUCCACCAUCUAGUAUUUAUAUAUUAGCAACAGCAGAGUAUGGGAUUGAAUAGGAAAGUUGGCAAAUGCAUGUGAUGUGCUCAUGGCUGUUUGGCUAGCCGAGCCCUUGAAAAAGUCCGAUUUUAAAUGAAUCAAGUUAGUCACAAAUUGAUUCGAAUUUAAAUCCAAUUUGAAUCUAAUUCAAUUAUUAAUCUCAUUAAUAGACUCAAUAAUAUGUGAUAUAUGUUUUUACCUCAAAUAUAAUAUACACUAUACAAUGAACUAUCAUGUAACCUACAGUGCUUAAGUUUUAUUAUUUCAUAUGCAUCACUUCCUACUCUUCAAUAUAUAUUUUGUUGUGACAGACUAUAACGUGAAAUUAUUAUUUAGUCGAAGUUAAAAUGAGCACACAGGUCCAGGUGGUAGAUUUGGGGGGGAAUACAAAUACGUAAGAGACAAAAGCCAUGACAACGGAGCCACGUGUGAUUGCAGAGUUGAAGCAUCUCUCUCUCUAAUUGGGCGACACGUGUCGCACAUCCUAUGCCUUUGUCAGAAUGACCCCGACAAUGUCCCUUCUUCACUCUUCCAAAACGACGUGGACUCCGUGGCAGCCGCUGAUUCCACGUCAUCGCCAGGUUGUAUAUAUGUCUUCACGAUCAAAACUAUUUUAACUACAUAGUUGUAUCGUACUCCGUGCUAGCCGACACAUAUUUCGCUCGUGGUUAGUAAAAGAAUGGUUUAAAAUUUAAAUUUUUUAUUGAAAUUAUAUUGAAUUGAAUUUAAAUUAAAAUUUCUAUAUCAAAUAAUUAAUUUUUAAAUGUAAUUUUAAGUUUUAAAAUAUUCAAAAAAACAUUAUAUUUGUUGUGUUGUUUUUAGUUAAAGUAAGUUGCUUUUAAAAGUUGAAUAUGUUAACGAUAAUUUUUUUUUAAAACCAAGUAAUAAUAAAUAUGAGUACUGAGCCGGAAUUAUGAUUAAUAUGUAUUAAUUAUUGAGCCGGAUCUAAAUCUUUUUAACCAGAUUACCUAAAUUUACUACUUGAGACCAAAAUUGCCCUGAUCCGUAGCUCACAUGAGCACCCCCUUCCAAUCCCCCACUGAUAAGAUCCAUAAUUAAACUUUCUUUUAAUAACUUAAAUUGUUAGGAAAAAGUGUUGUCAACCGUUACAUCCCAAUAACUCAAGUUAUUGAAAGUUGUAGUUUACGAUAAUAUGAUCAUAGAAGAAGAGNNNNNNNNNNNNNNNNNNNNNNNNNNNNNNNNNNNNNNNNNNNNNNNNNNNNNNNNNNNNNNNNNNNNNNNNNNNNNNNNNNNNNNNNNNNNNNNNNNNNNNNNNNNNNNNNNNNNNNNNNNNNNNNNNNNNNNNNNNNNNNNNNNNNNNNNNNNNNNNNNNNNNNNNNNNNNNNNNNNNNNNNNNNNNNNNNNNNNNNNNNNNNNNNNNNNNNNNNNNNNNNNAUGAGGACUGCUGUUUGGAAAGAUUUAUGAGAUGACAUUAUAUUUAUGAUUACUACAUAUGAAAUGAUGCUGGUCAACCCCACAAUUCCUUAAUUUGAAGGGUAACGACAAAUUAUAAUAAUUAAUUAAUAAAGGUUAGAUAAAGAUUGGAAUGAAGAGAUGGAAAAUUGUAUGGGAAUUGGGAUUUGAGAUACGUGUGGGGAGUUGGCUAAUAAUUUCUGACCUAACACUUAUGUGGACAUGAAGAAGAAGAAGAAGAAGAAGAAGAAGAAGAAGAAGAAGAAGAAGAAGAAGAAGAAGAAGAAGAAGAAGAAGAAGAAGAAGAAGAAGUAGGAGAAGUAAACAACGUUUGAAUUUAUGGUUUGAGGGUAUGAGCGGAGUUUUAAAUUUUUAAAACCAAAUUAUAUGAAAGUAGAAUACUUUUGAUUUAGAAAAUUAUACACGCAUUUUAUCUAGUCGGUACGGAGAAUUUUGGACAAAUCUCUGUAUUGAUAAUUGUUAUUGAUCAUGUUUUUUCUACUUUAAUCGUCUUUCUAUGGACUCAAGCAAGUUCCUUUCUCGUGUCUCUGCACCGCUCUCGCCGCCUACGGCUUCAAAGGCUUCCAAACAGAUCACUCCUACCGGCCUGCAAAAUCACAAAGUUUACAAACAACCAAUCAUAAGACAAUUGAAACAUCAUGUAAGAUUUGGGCUGAAAUUACAACAAAAAAUAUGUACUUGGAUGAUGUUCAUUAUACGUAUCUGGGUAGAGUCCAUCUCUUUUAACUGGGACUGGAGAGGAUGACGAACAAAAUCAGAAUCAAUUAGGCCAACUAACGAAUAAAAGACUGAGCACAAAUUUACCUAGAGGAUGAGGGAGCUCUACCGACAUUUUAAUAUAAAAUCCACGCUUCAGUUCUUUCCAUUUGACAAGAGAUAGGAGUCACCAUCUUCAAAAUCCGCUUCCUUGUCAUCAGGAAAACGAGGCUGCUUCCUUUCUCUUAUAACCAUCUCGCCGAGUUAGCGCAAAUGUUCGGAGUUACUCUCUGCAGAAAAUUUAGCUAUACGGCAACAAGAAUAUCACAGUAUGGAGAAAUGUUUCGCUAGGUUCAUAUAUUUACAUGAUCAUAAAUUAAUUAGAUGUACAAAAAUAACAAUACCAACCAUUGUUGGAAUAGGCACCACCAUAAUCACACCCAGAACAAGGAGCAGAAGAAUCAGCUGCACACUCAUUUAAGAUCGAUAAUUUGUUGAAUUUAAUUAUAGAAUUUGUGGACUGUGCUCGUAAUAAAACCUCUAGCUAAUGAGAAUUUUAGUUGUCACACGGUAAUUUCAGAAACAGUGUUUUAAAUUGUCCAAGUGACGUGUAUUAAGAGAAUUUUUACUAUAACUGUGGGUUUGUGUGUUCAGUGGACAAUAAAGGAAAUCAAUUCUUCACUUUCCAACAUUACAUUUAUAACUGAAUCGCUAUUGUUUCGUUGAAAUUAUUUGUGGCCUAUGAUUGUCUUGUGGUUUGAAAUUCUAAUUCUGUAGUAUUGGCUCCAGCUGCCAGAGGAUAUGUUAAGUGAACGGAUGAGCAGGACGAUGCUAUCAUUCUUGAUUGGUCAAUUACGGUAUUGCAUAUUGCGUCUAUCGUUAUAAUGAACAUUUGGAAGCCAUUCAUGAGAAGUCUAGAGGACAGAUUGAAGGCAAAAUUCGAACAAUUAACAAGCAAAUUGAGCACCAAAAACAAGAUCCCCUUCCAUAUCCUUGGUUGCAUCAAUUUGCGUUUGGAGAUGAGCAAUUGCCCCCCUCCAUAGCCUGCUCCAGCAACUAGUUCUGAUACUUUUACAAAUCCUCUUAAAUAUGCUAUCAACCCUAGAAAUCUUUUUGUAUCUAUGUUGGUGCUGUUAUAAAUCCUCUUCAACUUGCUAUCAACCCUGUUGGAGAAGCUAUUACCCACCUGAUCUGUUUAAUUCAAUAGAACCAACACAAGGUUAAUAACACGCUGAAGAGAAUUUGCAAUGGACCAACAUCUAUGGCUACAUGGUGGGUAUCAUAUAUACAUAAUUGAUAAUAGGGUUGAGAGGAUUUGCAAAAAGAUCAAAACAUGAAGUAAUUGUUCAUCCCCAAGCACAAAUUUAUGCAACUAAGGAUAUGGAAGUGGAUCACGGCGCUCAAUUUGCUUGUUAAUUGAUUGAAUUUUGUCUUUAAUCUGUCCUGCAGACCUUCCAUGAAUGACCUCUAAAUGUUCAUUAUAACAAUAGACGAAAUAUGGAAUACCAUAACAUGACCAAUCAAAAAUGAUAGCAUCUUCAUGUUCAUCCGUCCACCAAAAAUAUCCUUUAGAAGCUGGUGCCAAUACUUAAGGAUUUCGAAGGGGCACUUCCUCAGUCCCAAUGACCAUUAUCACCCCUGUAACUAUAACAAAUUUUGUUGGGUUGAGGAAUUAAAUCUACAAAAUUGACAAGAAUCCUGCCAACGGUGUCGCAACUGUUAUCUUGUGCUCUAUGCCCGUAUAAACGAAAUGUCCAGUUACCAUAUCAACUCUAAACAUCAGAUACCAUAGGCAACCAUACAAGUAAUGAUGAAUUAAAAAGAAAGAUUUGAACCAUUUUGGAAGAAUGAAGUGCAAUCUCAGCCGAAAGAUGGUGAAUUUGUUAAUAAUCACGAGUUAUUCAGUGAUGGAACAAUUAAAUUGCAUCACAGAUUGCAGGAUUUCAAUUCCAAUCAAACAUUGAUUUGAAACAGAAACCAAAAUCAGUAAAUGAAGCACAAGCAAGAGAGAUCAGAUGGUAGUGCAUGUAAUAUGAUCAUCAUCCAAAUACAGAAAUGGUGGAUACAUAUCCUCACAUCUCCCUUGCAAAACACUACAUCAGAUUCAAAAACUGUCAUUCAAAAUUCAAAUAAAUAACAGAAAAGCAUCGUCCUUUCUCCAUGAAGGGAUCAGAGAUACGUCAAAUCACCAGCUUCCAUAAGGAAGUAAGACUGGGUGUCAUAACAAUACAUCAUCACAUCCCAUUCAAAUGAAAAUAAAAAUAAAACAUUAAACCAGCUGAAAUCAAAGCUAGAAAAUUAGAUUUUGAAGAACACAGGAUCAGACAGAUAUGUCAAUCACCAUCUCGCAAAAGAAUUGCGAGUAAGACUGGGGCGACAAAAUUCAAUCAUCAUUUUCACAAACUUGAAACCUAGAUUGGAGAAAGAGGAUUACAGCGAUGAACACCAUAGCCGCCGAUGGUUUGGAAGUUUCAGAUCAAGCUCUGGCGAUGUAUAUAUAUAAGCUGGACUAGGGUUUUUUUCAGAUUGGGAGAUUUGGGUUUUAUGAAGAUCGCCAACCCGGGAAAUAAUGCAGAGCGGUUUAGAGCUGGGCCUGAUGAGUAUUUAUCAUAAGGCCUAUUGGGCUUUUCGAUGAGCUAAGCCUGUUGGGAAGGGUUAAAUGAUAGGGUUGUUUAUGCGGAGAUAGAGCGUGAGUGAUUGAACUAUUUAUAUUUAUCAUGAACAUAGUGGUGUAGUUGAUUAUUUAGCUAGUAUUGGACACGAAUUGUGAAUUGAUGUACAUAACGUAAUAUUUUUUUAUCUAUGUAUAUUGUAUUAGCUUAACCAUAAUAUAUUGUGAUUAAGAACUUCAAUAGUUUGAACGAGACCGACAAAAGUCAAAUGUAUUAGAAAUUUCUUGUUUAUGUAUUGAUGUACGUAAAGUUGUAUUCAAUACUGAUCGAUUGGGUUCGGUUCUGAUAACAUUGAUUAUAUUUUCUGAUCCAUUUUUGUUGUAUUGCUCGGUUAUUUUGUCUUGGUAAUACUUUGUUUAUAUUGAUGUUGUCAUAUCGCUCAAGUUAAUAACUUAUAAUUAUUCCUAAACCAACUAGCUUGUAAUGCCAUUUUGGGUUGGACUGUGAUGUAACGGACUAAUUGUAUAUUUAUAAUGUAAACAAAUAUCGUUAAAUCUCCAUUAAAUAAUUGCAUAAAAAAUCUCUCUUAAGAAUAAGAGAUUAAAGAUUAAGUGUGAUGAAAACCUACCACUUUAUUUACCAAAGGAAUGUGAUUUCUUUUUUACAUUAUUCUUACUACUUAGUUCAAAACUUGAAUCUAAAAGCUAAAAUUUCCUUAAAAGCACCAAAGAAAUGGUACCCGCACAGUUCAAUUCUGAUGAAUUGAACUCUCAGCGUCUCAAAACUGGUAAUCGUAAGAAAAUAUAUUUGCUAACAAAAUUGGAAAAAUACAAUCGGAGUCUGAGAUACGGAAAUCAAAAUAAUCUUUGGUUUGAUUUCAUCGUCUCUUAAAUGAUGCAGUAGCAGUCCCCUUGUUCUUCGGAGUAUAAGCAAACUCACUGAAGUCGGGAACAGUUGUUACCCUUGCACUUGCAACACAGAAACAAAUUCAUCAUGAACAACCUGACAGAGUAUUACCUCCAAAAAUGAUUUAAAAGAAAACAAAUUCCAGGCCAAUUAAGUUCAUGCAGAAAGUUCUUACCUGGUUGUACAACUAGUGUUCUUAAUGUCCUUCAAAGGGGCUCUCAGACCACUAGCACGAGAACCAUUCGACGACGAGUAUCUAAAAGACGAAAGCAUCGACGCAUAUUUAUCUACCGACUUCUCUGCUAUCUCUGAAUAUCUACCCAAAUGCCUGAUAUUAGCUCCGAAUUUCCCUCCCUCAGUUCGUUCCUCUGUCGGUUCUUCUUCAUCAGACUCACGCGAAGUGCAACCACCACCUUGAAAUUAACACAAUUGCAUGGUCAGAUUGAGCUUUAGGUAAUACUACAGAAUGUUGUUUUUGGCAACGAAACACUCACUGUCCUCCACAAGGGAAGAUGCAUUUGUGCAGAAGUACUUGGAUCUUCUGCUGUCCUGAAUCAAUCAAGAGAAGUUACGUGAGAGAUCAACUGAGAUAAAUUGAGAAAAAGCAUUCAAAGUGGUUUUCUUUACUGACAUUGUCAAUCAGGACAGUCUUCCUUUUCAAAGUAACUUCACUAGAACUCUUUUCACCGUCUUGAAAUGUGGUUUCAUCUUCUUUGUGACUGUCUACAUUCCCUUGUAAGGAACUGUCCGGAGAUGGAUUUCGUGCAAAAUAAGGGCUGGUCACUCUAGCCUUUUCGUUUGUCACGCUCAAAUGAUCGCCAUUGGACCUAUGCAUCUCUUUAUUCUCUUGGCUUUCAUCAUUGGUGGACUUGUGCUGGAAGUAACGACUCCUGACGAUGACCUUUUUGCGCUCUGCUACUUGUGCUCGUUGCUUUUGAUUGGUCUUGGUCUCACAUUCCUUCAGUACAACUUGGCCAGAUUGAUUAAGUGACUGUACAAAAGCUUUGAGAGGCAUAUCUCCUAUGCUUGGUUUCUCUACCUCUGUCCAAUUUUGUAAGCAUGUUUCAAUGAUGUAACUGCGAUAUUAAGAAUAUACAUAAUCUACUUUGUAUACUUGGUUAAGAAGAAGUUAACACUGUUACCAGAACUUGGAUAUUCCGCAAACUUUGGCUCAGUGAGGGUUUCCAUCUGCAUGAAUAGAGUUGUAUGAAUGGUGGGAAAAGGGACUAAUUCAACUUAAGCUAGGUGGUUAACUCUAUUGUACGACACAUCAAUUCCGUUAUAAUGUCAACUGAAAAUGAACCAACUCACCAUAGUAUAGGUAGACGUGCUAGAAUGAUUUUCAGGGGCAGAAGUAGAUGAUGAAGGGCAGUUAAUUCGGCCAGAACCAGCUCCAACGAAGCAAAACUCUUUCAGGCAAGAGCUAUCCACUGAAACUGAACAUGUGGGUGAUUUCCGAGGUGCCUUGAAUUUUCUCUUAGCUUCAAUUGAUGCAAAGCCUUACAUAUUGUUAAAGAAAACCAUGGAAAAGAAACUAGCACAAAACAGAAUGAAGCUUGCAAGGCAGGUGAUAUGAACAGAUAAUAUCAGGUGCUGAAACAAAUAAUAGAGCCAUGAGACACUAAAUUUAUAAACAAACACUUCAUGGCAUACCAUAACCAAUGAAAAGAAAAAACAAAUUGAGAAGGAUACAGAAAUAAUUAGUCAGGAGAUUCUUCUGCACCGGCAGAUCUAUCUUCUUGGCUAUACUUUCAGGUUUAGAGUUCUUCACUUUUGAAGUUCCACUAGUCACAGCUGCACAAUUUGGAGUGCUUUCCUGGAAUGGCGUCUGAGUAAAUGGAUCCAAAUCGCCAGCCGCAAUACCUCUGGCCACAUCUUGUGGAAUCCGUGUAUUCAAAGGUUAAGGAACAGCUGAGAAUUUAGAAAAUAUACAUAAAUCAAAGUAUCCUAAACUCAGAUUGUUAAACCACAAAGAUGACUCCAAAUUUAAAGGAUAUGGGCCAACAAAUUCCCAAUCACCACCAUCCUGACUUUCUGGAAUGUCAGACAAAUGCACAAUAUCCUCAGCAAUAGGAUCAUACACUCGUUGGUGCUUGAAAGUCAGUAUCGCUUUCCCGAAUGAUUCUUGAUAGAAAGGAGGAAUAGAGACAGUGCUAUACUUCAAAUGCUUGAUUACCUGAUUGCAGUCAAUCGUCGAUCAGAAAAUUAGAUGCUAGUUCAAAUAUCAUUUGAAUCAAAUAUGACGUAUGUUGAGUUGUGGUAAAAGUUACCUUCUCAUAAGUUUUAAAUUUCGAGAUUAAUGUGUGCGCCCUUUUCAAGCCCAUUCCAGGUAGUGACUGCAAAUAGUCACAGCCACUCAAAAUGCACAUCUCCAAAACCAUUUGGUUAGUGAAUCCAGCGAAACAUAAUUCCUUGUUCUUCUGAAGCCGGGAAAAUUGAAACUCGACACCUUGCCCAUACUUGUCCAUUUUGAAUAUGAUCUGUAUAAAAAGCUGAUUAAAGCACCACAAAAUCGAAGACAAAGAUAAUCUGAUACGAAAUAUAAACACAUGAUAGUAAGAUGUCCUCUCAACAAACAAACAUUGACCAGAUAACUCACCCUGGGGCAUCCAAAUGCUAUGAGAUCCGAGUCCUCGGUGAUAACUGCAUCCACUUGCUUAUUUAACGCCAUGAAUGUCAUCUGCGCAUCCGCCUCAUAAGGAGCUACAACAUACGGCACAUUUUCCUGCUUCAAGACCUUCAUAUGCAAACCAUGUAAAAAAAUAGCUGGAAUUAAUGAAUUAUACCAACCACGUGUGAUAAGUACCUUAUCAUGACAGGAGCAGGAGAUAAAUAACCAUGAAUAUAACAUUUCUACCUGGAUCAGAUCAUGUGCGAUAGAAGGCGAUAUGUCAACAGCCUUCUGGUAGCACUCAUAAGCUGCAGUCGAGUUCCCGUUUGACUCGUGCUCAAUAGCACGAGAAAGGUUUUCCUUUCUUGACCUACAAAUUGAAGGGAGGGUUACAUGUAAGUCAUAAACAUCACCUUAACUAAUGGAACUACCCGGACCCAUUUAUUGGUGGAAAAGAACAUGCAUUUGGCAAAGCUAAAGCAACAACUACUGGUACCUUGCACGUUUAUUCUCUUGUUCAAGCUUCAUAGGCAGAAAGCCUCCAUCAAAGACGAGAACAGGUUUAACACCAUAAUGCCUCAGCAAAUUCACCCUGUGCAUACAGUACUCAAUGUGCCUAUAACACAAAUCGUGACGGAAUCACCCACUUCAGUAACUAUAAAAUCUAAAUGUUCAAUAAACCAAAGAAGCUCUAAACCCAGUAAGAAACCAAAUGGCAAGUCGCAUAAAAAUGAACUGAAAAAGGAAUCCGUCACUGGGUUUUUUUAUUUAGGGGGAGAGUGAGAGAGACUGAUUGAAACACCUUGAAGUGGGCAGCCCUUUGCAGAGCUGAGUGCUACAGGAAAAUGCACCCUUGUGAAGCCAUGAGUAAGUAUCAACGGCGACGGAACAGCCUUGUAACUCUUUAAUGUGGAACGAUUGCAUCGUGGACUUCAGAAGGGGCAAAAGCCCCUGUAUCCCCAUUUCUUCCUCUGUCUUAACCAAUGAGGGUCGCCGCCGGUAUGUGGAUGGGUUGAAUCGCUUCCGUCGAGGAUUAAUUGGAAGGUGAUUGAUCAGCGUGCGUUUUCCCGAAUCCCAGAAUUCCUCUUCGGCUUCGUCUUGACCUAAUGUCGCGGAUUUUAAAUUUGGCGGGAAUGUUUAGCCAGCAGCAUUUUUCGCUUCUUUUGGGCCUGGUAAGUCCAAUAAGAGAUGGAUAUGAGAAACAUAGAAUAUCCCAUGUGGGCUUUUCUUAAAACACAUGCUAGCUAACCCUAAAGUCAAAAAAACACACCACCUUGUAAUUAUAUUGAUAAUAAUGACACAUGUGCGAAAAAAGAAUAGAUGGAUCAAAUCGAUAAUUAUCAUGUCGUGUGCCAGCCGUUAAAAUAUGCAUGAGAAAGUUCAACCAACCAAGUACACAUACAAAAUUACAAAGAACAAGUAGGAGAAAGUAAUGAGGACCAUUGAUUGAUUUGUUGAAAGGGAAACCGUGGGACUACUCAACCAACCGAUAUAUAUAUACACUAAUACUGCCAAGUGCCCCACUACUGGCGGCUUCUGCUGCUUCUUCCUAUCGCCCACAUGAUUAAUUAUACAAAGCAAACGUGCACCGUGUAUUAAUCCAUGGCUCCCAUUACAUGUUCAGUUUCGGGAUAAGGAGAUCAUAUCCGAUAAAUUAACCGGUUAUAGAGUUCUUAAAAAUUAUAUAAUAAGGAUUUUGGUUGCACCCUACAAUUUGUUGAAUGAUCCGAGUCCAAAUAAUUAUGGAAACCGGUGAUCGUCGACGAAAUGGUGGUCUAUAUUUAAACAUGAAACACCUACAUUUUUGUCAUUACGGAACUAGGGUGGAGUUAGGAUGACGUUCAUCUCACCCUUUCCCAUUCCAUGUCAGUAUCAAUAUUCUAGGUACGUCUUGAAAUUUUGCUAGCUUGAUUAAUUGGGUAUUCUUUUUAGUAUGGAUUACUUCUAGUUUUAGUACUGCUCGUUUAUUUUUUGUACUAAAAAUUAGCAAUCUUAAUUGAUUAAAUUUAUAAGAUAUUGUAAUCUACACGAUUGUUUAAAUAUGGACAUACGUGUUUUACACAAUUGUAUUUUAAUUUAUCAAUUAUAGAAAAUCGUGUUCAAAUUUAAACGAUAUAAUAUUUUCCAUGAUGUGAUGAUGAUAUAUCUUUUUCCCACUUAACAAGGGAUGAGUUACAGGAAAAAUAAAUUGACAAAAUAAGCCACGUGGAAAUUUAAUUCUCACGCUGUUUCCCUUCCUCUUAUUUAUUUGGAAUAUGACUAGGAUUUUCUACAUGGAAGAGUUUUGUACAAAGAUGUGACAGAAUGGUCGAUAAACACGUUUUAUGUCAAAGUACAAACAAGAAAUUAAAAUUAAUUUGGUUAUUCGUGAUUGGACCAAAACAAUAAUUUAUAUUUUCACCUACAGGAAAAAAAGAUAAUUAAUUUGACGAUUAUUGUCGGGACAUUUGUCGGCCCGUUUUGUUUUGGCCUAUGGGCCCUACUGGUGGUAUACAGAUCCCACUUGUACGCACAGCUCACUCCACAGCCACACAUUGAUCUCCUCGGCUCGUGUCUAAACUCUAAACACCAACACCAAAAACAUGUACGUACUAUGAGGAUUUCACACCUACAAAUGUACUAUAAAGGAUUCGAUACGUUUAAAUACGUAAUGUAUUGUAGGGAGCCUAAAAAUGACGUAGGAUUUAGUAUUUAUAGUCUCAUCAUCGAGUGAAUUGCUCUUAUUCUUCUAAUUGAUGUGAUCAGUGUUAUCUUAAUCAUCAACUCGAAACGAUCUAUUGAGAUCUCGCCACAUAUUACAAUAAGUGGAGACUUUACCGGCCGUAAUGUGUUAAGUCUAUGGCGAGCUUCCGAACCCUAUCGCCCAAAAACCUCCAAACAAUCCAUUUCCAACUAAAAUUAGACACCCAAACUCAAAAAAUCAAUCUAACAACAUCGACUCUUAUAUAAACCUUCUCUCUAUCAAAACUAUCAAAUAUUAGAAAGAACAAGACUUGAGAAGUAGUUGAUUAAUUAUUAAUUAUGAUUAAAUCAUUGAGGGCCCAGAAUUUGAAAAGUAGUGGAUGUGCCCAAAUACGGAUAUAAAUAGAAAAAUAUAUAUUCAUAUUAGUCCUUCUUUAAAAAGAAAUGGAAGAAUAUCCUAAUUUCCGCAACACAACAGGAUUGCCAGGUAUAUUCCGUGCAAUUACAUGUAAAUAAUUAAUUAGUUAGAUAGAGUGUGGCCCUGAGACGACUCAACUUGUUAUUUAUAAUUUAGUCCUUGCUUUGCUUGCAUUAAUCCCCCAUUACUACAAAUAAAAUAGAGCCGUUUCCAAAUCAACCUGACAAAAUUUCCUUCCCCAUAAACCCAACCAAAAUUCCACCGCUCCAAAAAACCAGAGAGAUAAAGAGAAGAAUUGGCGGCCUGAGCUGAAGAAAAUCCAAUGACCCAGAUGGCUAUCUUUACUGGGCUCUCUUCAAUCUACUCAGUCCUCAGCGAGUCAGCUGGAGUCGCCGGAAAUCUCUGUGCUUUCGUACUCUUCGUCUCACCGAUGUAAGUUUCCCCUCUUCUUCUUCUUCUUCUACUGCAAUUUCUCCGGUUUUCUGGGGUUUUUGUAAUCUUAGAUUUUGAAAAUUUUCUAUCUUUGCCAGACCAACGUUUAGGAGAAUUAUCAGGAACCAGUCAACGGAGCAGUUCUCUGGAUUGCCGUACAUAUACUCUCUUUUGAACUGCUUGAUUUGCCUUUGGUAUGGGAUGCCCUUCGUUUCCCCCAAUAUCAUACUGGUCGCCACUGUCAAUUCCAUUGGGGCGGUCUUCCAGUUUGUCUACAUAGCCAUCUUCAUUGCCUAUGCUGAUAAAACCAAGAAGGUGAGAGCAGAUUUUUUGAAGGGUGUUGUCUAAGGGUUUGGAAUUUUGAUCGAAUUUUCAAGGGUUUUGAUGUGUUUUGGUUGGAAUGUGUCUGCCCUUUUGCAGGUGAAGAUGUCGGUGUUGCUAGGUGCGGUGUUUGUGUUGUUUGCUGCAAUUGCCUUUGUGAGCUUGAAAUUCAUGGAGUCUCACGUCAGGCAGUUGUUCAUUGGAUAUUUGAGUGUCUUCUCUUUGAUUUCCAUGUUUGCUUCCCCACUUUUUAUCAUUGUAAGUUUUUUAACUCUGGUUGCAUUUGGUUUGGAUCUCUUGGCUCCUGGGUGUAAUUUUUGACAGUUUGAAUGGGUUGGAUUUUUGAACACAGAAUCUGGUGAUCAAGACUAGGAGUGUAGAAUACAUGCCGUUCUUCCUUUCGCUUGCAACAUUCGUGAUGAGCCUCUCGUUCUUAGCAUAUGGACUGCUCAAGGACGAUACUUUCAUAACCGUAAGUACCACAUUUGUCUUCAUUGCUAUAUGGCAUAUAUGCUGCAGUAUUUAGUUUCGAACUGGCCUUCCUUUAGUUUCUUCAACCUGUCGAUUUCCUAACGUUUAUUAUUGAUGGUACGAGCGUUCUGUAUGUUAGUCCACCAAGGUGACAUUUUUCCUUUGUUUCGAUCUACCUUGUUGACACACAGGUACCGAAUGGAAUUGGUACGAUUCUGGGGGUAGUUCAAUUGGCACUGUACUACCACUACAGCAACAGAUUCAGUGAAAACUCGAGAGAACCGUUGCUAGCAGAAUUUGCAUAACCCCUGUAAAGUAUGAUUGUUUGCUCAUGUUUGAUCUAUAUUGAAUCAGCGAAAGUAAGAGUAAGUAUGACUAUAGAAAACUUGUUGGAAUCUGCAGAGUGUGUGUUUUGGCAAUGGUACGUUGUCAAUGGAAUGCAACCAACAUUGGUGUUCCAAUCGCAGUGCAUCGAAUCGAACAUGCAGAGCAGGUUUAUGGUUAAAAUCGAGUUUAGCUGCAACUUCUCUGCUGUCAUCUUUGUACUUCCCAUCUAGAAAGAACCAUGCUUUCUGUGUGACAAGACCGUUGUUUUUUCUGGAGGAGGUCAUAUCACCGGAACAAGUUUCUUUCAUUUGUUCAUUCGAGUCGUUUACGUAGUGUAUAAAGCCAGUAGAGUCUUGUCUAAGGGUUUGGAAUUUUGAUCGAAUUUUCAAGGGUUUUGAUGUGUUUUGGUUGGAAUGUGUCUGCCCUUUUGCAGGUGAAGAUGUCGGUGUUGCUAGGUGCGGUGUUUGUGUUGUUUGCUGCAAUUGCCUUUGUGAGCUUGAAAUUCAUGGAGUCUCACGUCAGGCAGUUGUUCAUUGGAUAUUUGAGUGUCUUCUCUUUGAUUUCCAUGUUUGCUUCCCCACUUUUUAUCAUUGUAAGUUUUUUAACUCUGGUUGCAUUUGGUUUGGAUCUCUUGGCUCCUGGGUGUAAUUUUUGACAGUUUGAAUGGGUUGGAUUUUUGAACACAGAAUCUGGUGAUCAAGACUAGGAGUGUAGAAUACAUGCCGUUCUUCCUUUCGCUUGCAACAUUCGUGAUGAGCCUCUCGUUCUUAGCAUAUGGACUGCUCAAGGACGAUACUUUCAUAACCGUAAGUACCACAUUUGUCUUCAUUGCUAUAUGGCAUAUAUGCUGCAGUAUUUAGUUUCGAACUGGCCUUCCUUUAGUUUCUUCAACCUGUCGAUUUCCUAACGUUUAUUAUUGAUGGUACGAGCGUUCUGUAUGUUAGUCCACCAAGGUGACAUUUUUCCUUUGUUUCGAUCUACCUUGUUGACACACAGGUACCGAAUGGAAUUGGUACGAUUCUGGGGGUAGUUCAAUUGGCACUGUACUACCACUACAGCAACAGAUUCAGCGAAAACUCAAGAGAACCCUUGCUAGCAGAAUUUGCAUAACCCCUGUAAAGUAUGAUUGUUUGCUCAUGUUUGAUCUAUAUUGAAUCAGCGAAAGUAAGAGUAAGUAUGACUAUAGAAAACUUGUUGGAAUCUGCAGAGUGUGUGUUUUGGCAAUGGUACGUUGUCAAUGGAAUGCAACCAACAUUGGUGUUCCAAUCGCAGUGCAUCGAAUCGAACAUGCAGAGCAGGUUUAUGGUUAAAAUCGAGUUUAGCUGCAACUUCUCUGCUGUCAUCUUUGUACUUCCCAUCUAGAAAGAACCAUGCUUUCUGUGUGACAAGACCGUUGUUUUUUCUGGAGGAGGUCAUAUCACCGGAACAAGUUUCUUUCAUUUGUUCAUUCGAGUCGUUUACGUAGUGUAUAAAGCCAGUAGAGUCUGUCAUAUAUAUAGUGUGCACAAAAGCAUUCUCCAACCUGUUUCCACAAUGUCCAUGAAGAGCUGGAGUUUGGAACCAUGGAAUUAUUCUUUGUUCUCUAUUCUUUUUCUGGGUCAUGAGAACCUUCAAUUCUUUACGUCUGUUCUAUUUCCUUGUUGGUGUAUGAAACGCAAGAGUGAAAGUUUGUUUACUUGUAGUUGCAUUUGCUCCAUACAAAUGUGUGAGUUGUUCUCCUGAAGUAUCUCGACUAUGUCACUCAAAAGAAACUAUUUGUGAAGUUUGGUUUUGUUAGGUGGAAAGUUGGAUGAAAUUUUUAGUAUUUUUUUUUAUUAGAUAAAAUAUUUAGAAUUUGACAGAAGUUAUUUUAAAAAGCAAACUUAACCGUUAUUAUCUAAACUCCAACAAACUUUCAGAACAAAAAAAAAAA